Molecule: long non-coding RNA, 580 nt
Organism: Gavialis gangeticus (Gharial)
Lineage: Eukaryota; Metazoa; Chordata; Crocodylia; Gavialidae
Exons: 6
Source: RefSeq, a predicted model, not a curated record
CUUGGAUGUCACGUGUGACCUUAGCAACUGCAUGUGAACUUAGGCAACUGACCUAACCUGUCUCCAUUUACCCAGGAAAAGAAUGAAAUAUUUGAAAUACAAGGACAAGUGGCAGAACAGGGUAAAAUCAUAGAGACUCUUCAGAUAAAAAUAAACCACCUACAAGAGGAGCUCAAAACCUCAGAAGUAGCUGCUUUCCAGCCAGCAAUGCAGGAGGAAGGCUGCUCAGAGCCACCGAUGCAUGAGAGGACCAAAGGAAACCUGAGCCAGAAGUUAAUGAAUAGGUAUUUAAAGAAAACACUUUCCUGGUUCAGGAACCCAUGGGAGCAGUUUGGCAAAGUCUUAUUGUGCCUAACCAUUCUUCUCACACUGAUUAUAUUGUAUAGACAUUUCUUUUCUACUACUUUGAUAUGCCCGUUACUGAAAGGGUACCACCGCCACAACUACACUGGUCACCUUCGACCACACUGACACAGAAGAUAUGAAAUAAUGGCAUGGAUUGCGACAACACUGUUCUACUAAAAUGCUUCUGGGAAAAGCAGCACCUGAAAUAAUUAACUAAAAAAAUAAAGCUUCCAUC